GAUGAACGCUGGCGGCGUGCCUAAUACAUGCAAGUCGAGCGAACGGACGAGAAGCUUGCUUCUCUGAUGUUAGCGGCGGACGGGUGAGUAACACGUGGAUAACCUACCUAUAAGACUGGGAUAACUUCGGGAAACCGGAGCUAAUACCGGAUAAUAUUUUGAACCGCAUGGUUCAAAAGUGAAAGACGGUCUUGCUGUCACUUAUAGAUGGAUCCGCGCUGCAUUAGCUAGUUGGUAAGGUAACGGCUUACCAAGGCAACGAUGCAUAGCCGACCUGAGAGGGUGAUCGGCCACACUGGAACUGAGACACGGUCCAGACUCCUACGGGAGGCAGCAGUAGGGAAUCUUCCGCAAUGGGCGAAAGCCUGACGGAGCAACGCCGCGUGAGUGAUGAAGGUCUUCGGAUCGUAAAACUCUGUUAUUAGGGAAGAACAUAUGUGUAAGUAACUGUGCACAUCUUGACGGUACCUAAUCAGAAAGCCACGGCUAACUACGUGCCAGCAGCCGCGGUAAUACGUAGGUGGCAAGCGUUAUCCGGAAUUAUUGGGCGUAAAGCGCGCGUAGGCGGUUUUUUAAGUCUGAUGUGAAAGCCCACGGCUCAACCGUGGAGGGUCAUUGGAAACUGGAAAACUUGAGUGCAGAAGAGGAAAGUGGAAUUCCAUGUGUAGCGGUGAAAUGCGCAGAGAUAUGGAGGAACACCAGUGGCGAAGGCGACUUUCUGGUCUGUAACUGACGCUGAUGUGCGAAAGCGUGGGGAUCAAACAGGAUUAGAUACCCUGGUAGUCCACGUCGUAAACGAUGAGUGCUAAGUGUUAGGGGGUUUCCGCCCCUUAGUGCUGCAGCUAACGCAUUAAGCACUCCGCCUGGGGAGUACGACCGCAAGGUUGAAACUCAAAGGAAUUGACGGGGACCCGCACAAGCGGUGGAGCAUGUGGUUUAAUUCGAAGCAACGCGAAGAACCUUACCAAAUCUUGACAUCCUUUGACAACUCUAGAGAUAGAGCUUUCCCCUUCGGGGGACAAAGUGACAGGUGGUGCAUGGUUGUCGUCAGCUCGUGUCGUGAGAUGUUGGGUUAAGUCCCGCAACGAGCGCAACCCUUAAGCUUAGUUGCCAUCAUUAAGUUGGGCACUCUAAGUUGACUGCCGGUGACAAACCGGAGGAAGGUGGGGAUGACGUCAAAUCAUCAUGCCCCUUAUGAUUUGGGCUACACACGUGCUACAAUGGACAAUACAAAGGGCAGCGAAACCGCGAGGUCAAGCAAAUCCCAUAAAGUUGUUCUCAGUUCGGAUUGUAGUCUGCAACUCGACUACAUGAAGCUGGAAUCGCUAGUAAUCGUAGAUCAGCAUGCUACGGUGAAUACGUUCCCGGGUCU
This 1372-nucleotide ribosomal RNA is filed under the name uncultured bacterium. Its description in RNAcentral is "bacterial SSU rRNA". It matches the Rfam family "Bacterial small subunit ribosomal RNA", at positions 28 to 1381 of the family's 1533-position model. The record is from RNAcentral.